UACGAAGGGGGCUAGCGUUGCUCGGAAUUACUGGGCGUAAAGCGCACGUAGGCGGGUCGUUAAGUCGGGGGUGAAAUCCUGGAGCUCAACUCCAGAACUGCCCUCGAAACUGGCGAUCUUGAGUUCGGGAGAGGUGAGUGGAACUGCGAGUGUAGAGGUGAAAUUCGUAGAUAUUAGGAAGAACACCAGUGGCGAAGGCGGCUCACUGGCCCGGUACUGACGCUGAGGCGCGAAAGCGUGGGGAGCAAACAGGG
RNAcentral lists this ribosomal RNA (254 nucleotides) under uncultured bacterium. RNAcentral describes it as "partial 16S ribosomal RNA". It matches the Rfam family "Bacterial small subunit ribosomal RNA", at positions 524 to 777 of the family's 1533-position model. The record is from RNAcentral.